CUGAUUCGUUCGGGAACAAGCGGUUAGGUGAUCGAGAAGGUUCAAGGAACGGUCGUGUUCAAGGAAAGAGUAGUGAGUCGUCUUUUCGUGGAAGGAGUGAUAGAAAUGUAGAUUCAGGGUCGUCUUUUCGUGGAAGGAGUGACAAAAAUGUUGACUCAGGGUCGUCUUUUCGUGGUAGGAAUGAUAGAAAUGUAGAUUCAGGGUCGUCUUUUCGUGGAAGGAGUGAUAGAAAUGUAGACUCAGGGUCGUCUUUUCGUGGAAGGAGUGAUAGAAAUGUAGACUCAGGGUCGUCUUUUCGUGGUAGGAAUGAUAGAAAUGUAGACUCAGGGUCGUCUUUUCGUGGUAGGAAUGAUAGAAAUGUAGAAUCAGGGUUUAGGAGAGAGCCAGGUUCCGAAAACAACAGGGGCUUGGGGAAACAGACAAGAGGCUUAAGCCUGGAAGAGGA
This 445-nucleotide long non-coding RNA is filed under the name Arabidopsis thaliana (thale cress). RNAcentral's name for it is "long non-coding RNA (ATHA_LNC000354)". Lineage: Eukaryota; Viridiplantae; Streptophyta; Magnoliopsida; Brassicales; Brassicaceae. The record is from RNAcentral.